Molecule: ribosomal RNA, 486 nt
Filed under: uncultured bacterium
Lineage: Bacteria
Description: partial 16S ribosomal RNA
Rfam family: Bacterial small subunit ribosomal RNA
Source: RNAcentral
AUUGAACGCUGGCGGCAUGCCUUACACAUGCAAGUCGAACGGCAGCACGGUAGCUUGUUGCUCGUGCGGGGUGGCGGACGCGUGCGUAAUACGUCGGCAUCGGUCCUGACGUUGUCGUUAGGGCGGCGGUAGCGGGACUUAUGCUGCUAACGCAUACGGGCUGAGGGCGGGAGCCGUUGGUCUUCCGCCCUUGCGCGUUGGCAGAUGGCGGAUUAGCUAGUUGGUGGGGUAAAGGCCUACCAAGGCGACGAUCAGUAGCUGGUCUGAGAGGACGACCAGCCACACUGGAACUGAGACACGGCCCAGACUCCUACGGGAGGCAGCAGUGGGGAAUAUUGGACAAAGGGCGAAAGCCUGAUCCAGCAAUGCCGCGUGGGUGAAGAAGGCCUUCGGGUUGUAAAGCACUUUUGUCCGGAAAGAAAUCCUUGGCCCUAAUACGGUCGGGGGAUGACGGUACCGGAAGAAUAAGCACCGGCUAACUACGUG